Molecule: ribosomal RNA, 497 nt
Filed under: uncultured bacterium
Lineage: Bacteria
Description: partial 16S ribosomal RNA
Rfam family: Bacterial small subunit ribosomal RNA
Source: RNAcentral
GAUGAACGCUGGCGGCGUGCCUAAUACAUGCAAGUCGAGCGAACGGACGAGAAGCUUGCUUCUCUGAUGUUAGCGGCGGACGGGUGAGUAACACGUGGAUAACCUACCUAUAAGACUGGGAUAACUUCGGGAAACCGUAGCUAAUACCGGAUAAUAUUUUGAACUGCAUGGUUCAAAAGUGAAAGACGGUCUUGCUGUCACUUAUAGAUGGAUCCGCGCUGCAUUAGCUAGUUGGUAAGGUAACGGCUUACCAAGGCAACGAUGCAUAGCCGACCUGAGAGGGUGAUCGGCCACACUGGAACUGAGACACGGUCCAGACUCCUACGGGAGGCAGCAGUAGGGAAUCUUCCGCAAAGGGCGAAAGCCUGACGGAGCAACGCCGCGUGAGUGAUGAAGGUCUUCGGAUCGUAAAACUCUGUUAUUAGGGAAGAACAUAUGUGUAAGUAACUGUGCACAUCUUGACGGUACCUAAUCAGAAAGCCACGGCUAACUACGUG